AGCGCAUACGGUGGAUGCCUUGGCAGUCAGAGGCGAUGAAAGACGUGGUAGCCUGCGAAAAGCUUCGGGGAGUCGGCAAACAGACUUUGAUCCGGAGAUCUCUGAAUGGGGGAACCCACCUAGGAUAACCUAGGUAUCUUGUACUGAAUCCAUAGGUGCAAGAGGCGAACCAGGGGAACUGAAACAUCUAAGUACCCUGAGGAAAAGAAAUCAACCGAGAUUCCCUUAGUAGUGGCGAGCGAACGGGGAUUAGCCCUUAAGCUUCAUUGAUUUUAGCGGAACGCUCUGGAAAGUGCGGCCAUAGUGGGUGAUAGCCCCGUACGCGAAAGGAUCUUUGAAGUGAAAUCGAGUAGGACGGAGCACGAGAAACUUUGUCUGAACAUGGGGGGACCAUCCUCCAAGGCUAAAUACUACUGACUGACCGAUAGUGAACCAGUACCGUGAGGGAAAGGCGAAAAGAACCCCGGAGAGGGGAGUGAAAUAGAACCUGAAACCGUAUGCGUACAAGCAGUGGGAGCCUACUUGUUAGGUGACUGCGUACCUUUUGUAUAAUGGGUCAGCGACUUAUAUUCAGUGGCAAGCUUAACCGUAUAGGGUAGGCGUAGCGAAAGCGAGUCUUAAUAGGGCGUUUAGUCGCUGGGUAUAGACCCGAAACCGGGCGAUCUAUCCAUGAGCAGGUUGAAGGUUAGGUAACACUGACUGGAGGACCGAACCCACUCCCGUUGAAAAGGUAGGGGAUGACUUGUGGAUCGGAGUGAAAGGCUAAUCAAGCUCGGAGAUAGCUGGUUCUCCUCGAAAGCUAUUUAGGUAGCGCCUCAUGUAUCACUCUGGGGGGUAGAGCACUGUUUCGGCUAGGGGGUCAUCCCGACUUACCAAACCGAUGCAAACUCCGAAUACCCAGAAGUGCCGAGCAUGGGAGACACACGGCGGGUGCUAACGUCCGUCGUGAAAAGGGAAACAACCCAGACCGCCAGCUAAGGUCCCAAAGUUGUGGUUAAGUGGUAAACGAUGUGGGAAGGCUUAGACAGCUAGGAGGUUGGCUUAGAAGCAGCCACCCUUUAAAGAAAGCGUAAUAGCUCACUAGUCGAGUCGGCCUGCGCGGAAGAUGUAACGGGGCUCAAACCACACACCGAAGCUGCGGGUGUCACGUAAGUGACGCGGUAGAGGAGCGUUCUGUAAGCCUGUGAAGGUGAGUUGAGAAGCUUGCUGGAGGUAUCAGAAGUGCGAAUGCUGACAUGAGUAACGACAAUGGGUGUGAAAAACACCCACGCCGAAAGACCAAGGGUUCCUGCGCAACGUUAAUCGACGCAGGGUUAGUCGGUUCCUAAGGCGAGGCUGAAAAGCGUAGUCGAUGGGAAACAGGUUAAUAUUCCUGUACUUCUGGUUACUGCGAUGGAGGGACGGAGAAGGCUAGGCCAGCUUGGCGUUGGUUGUCCAAGUUUAAGGUGGUAGGCUGAAAUCUUAGGUAAAUCCGGGGUUUCAAGGCCGAGAGCUGAUGACGAGUCGUCUUUUAGAUGACGAAGUGGUUGAUGCCAUGCUUCCAAGAAAAGCUUCUAAGCUUCAGGUAACCAGGAACCGUACCCCAAACCGACACAGGUGGUCGGGUAGAGAAUACCAAGGCGCUUGAGAGAACUCGGGUGAAGGAACUAGGCAAAAUGGCACCGUAACUUCGGGAGAAGGUGCGCCGGCUAGGGUGAAGGAUUUACUCCGUAAGCUCUGGCUGGUCGAAGAUACCAGGCCGCUGCGACUGUUUAUUAAAAACACAGCACUCUGCAAACACGAAAGUGGACGUAUAGGGUGUGACGCCUGCCCGGUGCCGGAAGGUUAAUUGAUGGGGUUAGCGCAAGCGAAGCUCUUGAUCGAAGCCCCGGUAAACGGCGGCCGUAACUAUAACGGUCCUAAGGUAGCGAAAUUCCUUGUCGGGUAAGUUCCGACCUGCACGAAUGGCGUAACGAUGGCGGCGCUGUCUCCACCCGAGACUCAGUGAAAUUGAAAUCGCUGUGAAGAUGCAGUGUAUCCGCGGCUAGACGGAAAGACCCCGUGAACCUUUACUGUAGCUUUGCACUGGACUUUGAGCCUGCUUGUGUAGGAUAGGUGGGAGGCUUUGAAGCGUGGACGCCAGUUCGCGUGGAGCCAUCCUUGAAAUACCACCCUGGCAUGCUUGAGGUUCUAACUCUGGUCCGUNNNNNNNNNNNNNNNNNNNNNNNNNNNNNNNNNNNNNNNNNNNNNNNAGAGUAUAAAGGCAAAAGCGCGCUUGACUGCGAGACAGACACGUCGAGCAGGUACGAAAGUAGGUCUUAGUGAUCCGGUGGUUCUGUAUGGAAGGGCCAUCGCUCAACGGAUAAAAGGUACUCCGGGGAUAACAGGCUGAUACCGCCCAAGAGUUCAUAUCGACGGCGGUGUUUGGCACCUCGAUGUCGGCUCAUCACAUCCUGGGGCUGAAGCCGGUCCCAAGGGUAUGGCUGUUCGCCAUUUAAAGUGGUACGCGAGCUGGGUUUAGAACGUCGUGAGACAGUUCGGUCCCUAUCUGCCGUGGACGUUUGAGAUUUGAGAGGGGCUGCUCCUAGUACGAGAGGACCGGAGUGGACGAACCUCUGGUGUUCCGGUUGUCACGCCAGUGGCAUUGCCGGGUAGCUAUGUUCGGAAAAGAUAACCGCUGAAAGCAUCUAAGCGGGAAACUUGCCUCAAGAUGAGAUCUCACUGGGAACUUGAUUCCCCUGAAGGGCCGUCGAAGACUACGACGUUGAUAGGCUGGGUGUGUAAGCGUUGU
This 2770-nucleotide ribosomal RNA is filed under the name Pseudomonas aeruginosa. Its description in RNAcentral is "bacterial LSU rRNA". It matches the Rfam family "Bacterial large subunit ribosomal RNA". Lineage: Bacteria; Pseudomonadati; Pseudomonadota; Gammaproteobacteria; Pseudomonadales; Pseudomonadaceae. The record is from RNAcentral.